This 508-nucleotide ribosomal RNA is filed under the name uncultured bacterium. RNAcentral's name for it is "partial 16S ribosomal RNA". It matches the Rfam family "Bacterial small subunit ribosomal RNA", at positions 28 to 507 of the family's 1533-position model. The record is from RNAcentral.
GACGAACGCUGGCGGCGUGCCUAAUACAUGCAAGUCGAACGCUUCUUUCCUCCCGAGUGCUUGCACUCAAUUGGAAAGAGGAGUGGCGGACGGGUGAGUAACACGUGGGUAACCUACCCAUCAGAGGGGGAUAACACUUGGAAACAGGUGCUAAUACCGCAUAACAGUUUAUGCCGCAUGGCAUAAGAGUGAAAGGCGCUUUCGGGUGUCGCUGAUGGAUGGACCCGCGGUGCAUUAGCUAGUUGGUGAGGUAACGGCUCACCAAGGCCACGAUGCAUAGCCGACCUGAGAGGGUGAUCGGCCACACUGGAACUGAGACACGGCCCAGACUCCUACGGGAGGCAGCAGUAGGGAAUCUUCGGCAAUGGACGAAAGUCUGACCGAGCAACGCCGCGUGAGUGAAGAAGGUUUUCGGAUCGUAAAACUCUGUUGUUAGGGAAGAACAAGGACGUUAGUAACUGAACGUCCCCUGACGGUAUCUAACCAGAAAGCCACGGCUAACUACGUG